RNAcentral lists this long non-coding RNA (454 nucleotides) under Malus domestica (apple). Its description in RNAcentral is "long non-coding RNA (MDOM_LNC010124)". Lineage: Eukaryota; Viridiplantae; Streptophyta; Magnoliopsida; Rosales; Rosaceae. The record is from RNAcentral.
GAGGAUGUGACAAACAUAUUCUAAGCUAUUGUCCGCGUUUUACUUUUUGGUACCACUCUAUUCCAUUCAUAUUACAACAACUUCACAAGCCAUGGACUAAACUCACCAAUCAAACACUAAAAAUAAAAAAUUACUAUUACUAUUAUUAUCUUAGACAGAGAGAGAUCAGGGACAACCAAACACGUACAAAUGUGCAUAGCAUUAUUAUUUUUCGUUAUUGUAGUAAAGCAUCAUUUGCAAUUCAAUUGGAGUUUUGAUUCCUAACUUAAAUUUGUAAAUAUUAGUUUUAAAACUUGUUGGAAUAUUAAUCAUUUUAGAUAAUUCCAUUAGAAAUUCAACCACUUGUUUACUAUUGAUCCCUCUUUUUAUUACAAAUGUAAAUUUUAACAAAGUCAUCCAGACGAGAACGAUUGUUAUAUUUUCGAAUAUUUCCAUUGACGUGGCCGGCGCUGGC